GGUUGAGGACUGCACACUUCCAGAUGUGUGCCGAGGUCGAUGACGUCACUGCGCUGCAGCAGCAUGGCGAUUUAAACCAGGUUGAUGUUCAUUCAG
Molecule: long non-coding RNA, 96 nt
Organism: Thalassophryne amazonica
Lineage: Eukaryota; Metazoa; Chordata; Actinopteri; Batrachoidiformes; Batrachoididae
Exons: 3
Source: RefSeq, a predicted model, not a curated record